AUCGCUUCUUGGCCUUUUGGCUAAGAUCAAGUGUAGUAUCUGCUCUGUCUUAAUGUGCACUCUGCUUCGAUAGGUAUGGGGUUUUUGCUUUUUGUUUUGGUUGGGGAGAAAGAGGGGUGAGAGUCGGUAACUUGA
This is a small nuclear RNA of Podarcis muralis (Common wall lizard), 135 nucleotides long. Its record names the gene U2. It matches the Rfam family "U2 spliceosomal RNA". Rfam says of the family: U2 is a small nuclear RNA (snRNA) component of the spliceosome (involved in pre-mRNA splicing). Complementary binding between U2 snRNA (in an area lying towards the 5' end but 3' to hairpin I) and the branchpoint sequence (BPS) of the intron results the bulging out of an unpaired adenosine, on the BPS, which initiates a nucleophilic attack at the intronic 5' splice site, thus starting the first of two transesterification reactions that mediate splicing. Lineage: Eukaryota; Metazoa; Chordata; Lepidosauria; Squamata; Lacertidae. The record is from Ensembl.